AUAUGUAUACUUUUUCAUAUUCUUUUCCACUAUAAGUUACUAUGAGAUACUGAGUAUAGUUCCCUGUGCUGUACAGUAUGUCCUUGUUGUUUACUAUUUUAUAAAUAGUAGUAUGCGUAUGUUCAUCCCAAACUCCUAAUCAUUCUGCCACUAUCCCUUUGGUAACUGUUAUUAUGACUAUUUUCGUUUUGUAAAUAAGGUCAAUUUUAUCAUUUUACACACAUAUAAGUGAUACCAUAUGAUAUUGGUCAUUUACUGACUUCAAUUACUUCAAUUCCUAUGAUAAUCUCUAGGUUGAUGCAUGUUGCUGAAAAUGGAAUAAUUUGGUUUUUCGGGCUGAGCAAUAUUCCGCUGUGGACAUGCGCACACACACCACAUUUUCUUUAUCCAUGCAUCUGUAUCGACAUUUAGGUUGCUUCCAUGUCUUGGCCGUUAGAAAUAGUGCUGCUAUGAACACUGGGGUACAUGUAUCUUUUCAAAUUAGUUUUUUCCAGAUAUAGAUCCAGAAGUGGGUUUGCUGCAUCGUAAGGUAAGUCUACUGUUCUCCAUAGGGCCUGCACCAAUUUAUAUUCCUACCAAGAGUGCGGGAGGGUCCCUUUUUCUCCAUACCUUCUCCAGCAUUUGCUAUUUCAUUUGCAGAGUUUUUAACGAUGGCCUUUCUGACGGGUGCGAGGUGAUACCUUUGGAUUUCUCUAAUGAUUAGCGAUACUGAGCAUCUGUUCAUGUUCCUGUUGACCAUCAGUGUGUCUUCUUUGGAGCAAUAUUUAGGACAUCCGCUCAUUUUUAAAAAAUGACCUGGAAGAGAAAGGAAAACCAAUAAUGCAGGAAAGGGGGGAGAAACUGCUUGUUUUAGCAGCAGAGUUGGUACCAACAAUGUAAGUGGACAGACUGACUUGAAGCACAGAAUUCACCCACAGGAACUGGCAGGAAGGCAACGUGCGUCACUGCGAACGCUGCCAGGUAGGUAGUAGUGAUAACUCAGGGAAACAAACCCACCUGUUCAAAAAAUACUUACCGUUACCUACCUAUUCUGCUUCCAGGGAUUCAAUGAUGACUCAACACACACAGGUUAUCAAACACAGGGAUAAGACAGAAACACCAACCACAAAGGACAGAGGGGCUCGAGGAUCUGGAAGUGUGGCUGGGAUGGGACGCUGGCACAAGAUGAUCUCCUUCAUGGUUUAAAUGACUUCUGAGCUGUCAGUUACGUCGCUGCUGGAGGAGACCUGAAUGUCGGCCUCCUACACAGAAAUAAUUUUGGUCAGCAAGCACCAUCAAUAACAUUGUUAUCAACACGUGACAUCAGGUCCUGAAGAAGAUGGCGGAGUAGCAGGAUGUGAAGCUCACCUACUCCCACAAACACACUGAGGAUGCAUCUACCUGUGCCAUGAUUCACAGAAAACCUGCUGAAUUCUGGCAAAUCUUUCAGGAUUCUGAAAGAGCAAGAAAAUCUUCAUGAAGAAAAAAGGUAUGAGAAAAGAAAGAAGAUGAGAAAGGAAGCAGAAUGGGACCUGCACUCCAAGGAAGCAGCUGUAAAGAAAGGUCCAGGACCCUGAGAAGUUGCCCCACCGGCGAGGAAAUCAGCCAGGUCAGAGGAGAAACUCUCUAGAGUCUUGGAGGAGAACACAGCAGUCAGCGUGAAAAAGCAGGUAAAAUGGAACCAGUCCUCCACAGUCAGUGCUACCGCCCUGUGCUUCCUGACCAUCUGCUCACACCGUGUGGGUUGGGAACUGAAACUCAGGCUUUGGACAUCAGAAUCAGAGAGAGGUGGGGCUGGCUACAUGGGGAAAAAUGAGUUAGCCACAUGGAAACAGCCUGGAGGGACCAGAAAAUCUGUUUUAAAAAUCUGUUCCCAUAGAUCACUCAAAAGACCCCCCCCAAAAAUAAGUAAAAAUUAAAAAAUAAAAAGGAGUUCUCAUCAUGGUGCAGCAGAAAUGACUCUGACUAGGAACCAUGAGGUUGCGGGUCUGAUCCCCGGCCUCACUCAGUGGGUGAAGGAUACCGCAUUGCCAUGAGUUGUGUAGGUCACAGACUCAGCUGUAGUUUGGAUUGGACCCCUAGCCUGGGAACCUCCACAUGCCAUGGGUGCGGCCCUAAAAAGCAAAAAGCAAAAAGCAAAAAAAAAAAAAAAAAA
RNAcentral lists this long non-coding RNA (2134 nucleotides) under Sus scrofa (pig). RNAcentral's name for it is "lncRNA (ENSSSCG00030013942.1)". The record is from RNAcentral. Lineage: Eukaryota; Metazoa; Chordata; Mammalia; Artiodactyla; Suidae.